RNAcentral lists this long non-coding RNA (22733 nucleotides) under Nicotiana tabacum (common tobacco). Its description in RNAcentral is "long non-coding RNA (NTAB_LNC005255)". Lineage: Eukaryota; Viridiplantae; Streptophyta; Magnoliopsida; Solanales; Solanaceae. The record is from RNAcentral.
CUAGCUCAGACAACUCCACAUAAGUGGGCCUUUUCACGCAGAACGGGGUCGCUUCUGCGACCAUCCUUCUGUAGAUGCAGAAUCACAGGUUUUUUUUUUGCAUGUUUUCACCCUUUUUUGCUCAAUUCCACUCCAAUUGAAUUCAAAUCACUUCAUGGCAUCAUUUACCUAAAACUCUAACAAUACACACCAUAAAAGACCUCAUAUUAUAGUUAAAGGACAUAAAAGCUAAAGAAAAGAGACUAGAAUGAGCGGUAAAAUCACCACUCAUCAGCCGGCUGAAUUAAUAAGAAUUGCAAGUAACGGAAGAGAAUAGAGAGCUUUUGAGAGUGUUAGAGUGUAGAUGAACUAGUGUUCGUGUCUCGAAGUAAGGAGUAAAGGAGAGUAUAUAUAGCAAUUAAGAGCAAGGAAAAAAUAAGGUAAAGGGAAUCAACCCUUCUGCAAUUAAGGAAGCCACAAAAUCAAUUAUACAUUAGUUAGUAUAAUUUUCCCUUAAUUAAGGGUAAUCAGCCAACGGUAAAGGUAGAACACAUUUAAGGAAAGAAAAUCAAUGAGCAAUUAGGGGUAAAUUGAUAGGUUUUUAAUUAAGGAAAUAAUUGGUAACGAAUCAGUAAAUAUCACAAUUAAUCAAAUAUUGUAAGAAAGCGGCUCAAGAUUAUAAAUAAGGAAAUAGUCAGGAAUGGGUCUUACCAAAACAAAUAGAUAAAUCAAGAAUCCAAAUCAAUCAUUGAUUUAAGGAAAAAGUAUAGGUUUACCAUGAAUAGGUAAAAAAAUGAACAUAGACAUAUGGAAUUAGUAGAAGAGUCGAACAUCAAUAGAGGUACAUUAGGACCAAAAAACAUCGAAUUAGGCUAAGAAGAAUCACAGAAACCAAUGUAUAGUACAAAGUCAGUACCCAAGUAACCUAGACAAACUCAGAAACCAAACAAUAAUGUCGAGAAAUUAGGUUUUUUAGCAUAAAUAAGUCAGGGUUAGAGCAAUCUUCAUGACAUCUGUCAAAACACACAAGAAACAGAAGAUUAAACACUCAAAAAUCAUUAAACGUUUUGGAGAAAGAAAAUUUCAGGAAACCCUAGUCUUAGAAGUCAAAAACCUGAAGUACUAUAGCGUUUAAAAUCAGUCAGUAGUAGAGGAAUAAGAGAAACUUAAAGAAAAAUCACAGAAACUCGAGAACAUUUUCAAAUAUGUAGAGAUUCAAGCAGUAGAUAGCAAAGGACCCAAGAUAUAGUGCUAAAAUCGGUUAGCAGUAAAGAAAUAAGAGAUCUUUAAAGAAAAGUCAUUAACAAACUCAGAAUCCUUCCAGAUCUACAAAGAUCAGACGGAUUCAUGACCAAAGAUUAGGGUUUUGAGGAGAAAGGGGAGGGGUAAGGAGAACCUAAUUUUGAACUAGAGAUUUGAACCAUGGAAUUUCAAUAGAAAUCACUCGCAAACCGUGGACGAACCCUUGAAAUGCUUUGAACGAGAUCUGGACCAUAUCUCUUCUAGGUUCUUCCACAAAAGCCACAUAAUCGAAUAACCAAGGAGAUAAGAGACAAGUAGAGGUUUCGUACAACCAUAUGAUGCCAUAGAUCGAAUAGGGAUUCCAAGGUUUGGGGUUGAUUUUGGGUGAUGGUGAUUAGGGUUAGGGGUUGGUUUCAGAGAGAACUGGAGAGGAAGGGAUUCAAGGGCGACUGUGUGUGCGAAAUGGUUAGGAUUUAGGGGUCGUUUGAAACUAAAAAAGAAAGGAUGGAUUGUGGCUGUUGAUCUCUAUGAUCAAUGGCCAAGAUCAAAUAAAAUUGGGGCUGGAUCUAUUUAGGUUAAAUUGGGCUAGGUAGGUUUAGGUUAAAAUUGGGCUGGGUAUUGGGUCAAAAUUGAGGCCAAAAUUGAAAUAAAAUAAGGCCAGAUUUUAAAUAGCAACUUUUAAUAACUAAAUAAUUUAUAAAAUAAUAAAUGAGUACCAAAAAAAUAUCUUUAUGUAUUAAAAUAAUUUUAAAUAGUUAUUUAACAUUUUAAAAAUAUGAAAGAUCAUUUUAUACAUAAAUAAUGUAGUUAUACAUUAGUAUGGGCUGUUUUUGCAAAGAUAUGCAAUUUAGCUUAAAAAUGUAAAUAUAAUUAUGAAAAAUGCACAAAAAUAUUUAAACACUAUGUUGGCAUAAAUAAUGAAUUUAAAUGGCUAAAUCACCAUAAAAGUAAUUUGAACGAUAAUUAUUGGAUAUUUAUAUAAAUAAAAAGAGAAGAAAUAAAUUGAUUUGGAGCUUUUAAAAUAAUAAAAAUACUUAUGCAUGCUUAUAACUACAUAUUUACUAUUUUGAAAGCAUAUAUACAUAUUUUUAAAAAAUAUAUGAGGAAAAAUUUGGUAUCAACAAUUGCCCCGACGCUUAGACUUUUCUCUUUUAAAUACCUUAGGAUGGGCUAGAACCACCUAAAUUAGAGGUCCCAAAUACCUCCAGGGCCACAAGGAAGGGACAGGUAGUGAACACAUAGGAUAUCACUCAACAGCUGCCCCUCUUUACCCGGGAAUGAUGAAAGAGUUUUCGGGUAAAGAAAUAAUGGCCAAUUUUGACCUGAUGGGAUGUUUUGAAGGACAGAGGCCGUACUCUAGUCUUUGAGCUACCUACAUAUCCCUAGUUUUAUAGGAAUCAGGACAUGUGUAGUUCUGGAUUCAUUGGCGGAAUAUACCGAUGAAGUCAUUGUAAGAAGACACGAGAUGCAAGAGCAGUUAUGUUGAACGGUUAGGUUUGAGUUAAUUUGAAGGAACUAGAGCGAGGUCACUCCUGCUAGGAUAGUGGUUGCUUGUUGGUCACCCUGUAGAUAAAGAGAUGCUAGAGACAUGUAUUUGUGCGGAAAUUUAAACAUGAUGCAGAUUCCCUUUGGACCAUGAAAGUUGUCUUUGGACGAUUAAGGAUGAUGUACUCAGACCAUGAUAUCCCGGGCCAUGAAUUGUUUAGUGAAGGAUCUGCAGGCCGUGAAAUGAUGUUCUCGGGCCAUGAAGAUGGUGCCUCCGAACAAUGACGCCUUUGAAUAAUGAUAUGCAAAUUUGAGGGAUCCUCAAGCCAUGGCAUGUUGUCUUCCGGCUAUGAGUAGAAUGCCUUUUAGACUAUGAUGCCUUUGGAUAAGUUAGCGAUAUUUCAGCCCAUAAGAUGUAAUAAUAUGAUGCUACCAAAACAAUGCUUAGUCUUGUGAAAUGAAGGGAAGCGCUUAGCUCGAUUGAAAAGCAAGUAGAUAGUACUAGAAUAGAGCAAUAUUUAUGUAAAGGGUCAGUGCUUAGUCCCAUGCAGGUAUGGAGGCAAGGAUUAGCCUCAUGAAGGUAUGAAGGAAAGGAUUAGCCUCAUGCAGGUAUGGAGGCAAGGAUUAUCCACAUGCAAGUAUGGAGACAAGGAUUAGCCUCAUGCAAGUAGGGAGGUAGGGAUUAGUCUCAUGCAGGUAGGGAGGUAUGGAUUAGCCUCACGUAGGUAGGGAGGCAGGGAUUAGCCUCAUGUAGAUGCAGAGGCAGAGAUUAGCCUCAUGUAAAUAUGGAGGCAAGGAUUAGUCUCAUGCAAAUAUGGAGGCAAGGAUUAGCCUCAUACAUGUAGGGAGGCAGAGAUUAGCCUCAUGCAGAUGUGGAGGUAAGGAUUAGCCUCAUGAAAGUAGGGAGGUUGGGAUUAGCAACAUGCAGGUAAGGAGGCAGGGAUUAGCCUCAUGCAAAUGUGGAGGUANNNNNNNNNNNNNNNNNNNNNNNNNNNNNNNNNNNNNNNNNNNNNNNNNNNNNNNNNNNNNNNNNNNNNNNNNNNNNNNNNNNNNNNNNNNNNNNNNNNNNNNNNNNNNNNNNNNNNNNNNNNNNNNNNNNNNNNNNNNNNNNNNNNNNNNNNNNNNNNNNNNNNNNNNNNNNNNNNNNNNNNNNNNNNNNNNNNNNNNNNNNNNNNUGCAGAUAGGAGGCAAGGAUUAGCCUCAUGCAGAUAGGGAGGCAAGGAUUAGCCUCAUGCAAAUAUAGAGGCAGGGAUUAGUCUCAUGUAAAUAUGGAGGCACGGAUUAGCCUCAUGCAAUUAUGGAGGCAAGCAUUAGCCUCAUGCAAAUCUGGAGGCAGGGAUUAGCCUCAUGCAUAUACGGAGGCAGAGGUUAGCCUCAUGCAAGUAUGGAGGCAAGGAUUAGCCUCAUGCAAAUAUGGAGGCAGGGAUUAGCCUCAUGCAAGUAUGCAGGACAAGGCUUAGUCCCAUUCAAAGAGCGAGUAGCAAAUAAGAGUGGUGUAUUUCUUAGUUGGAGAUAUAUUCGGUGUCUGAUGGCCGGAUUGAUAGUGAAUUUGCUUUGUGUAUACAUGUUUGCGAAUUCUAUCGCUACGUUUAAUGUGCCUGCGUUCAAAGAAAAAUUGUGAGUUUUUUUAGGGGGAGGUUGCUUCGCACUUCUAUUUGUUGGCCUUGCUUUGUCCGUUCUGAAGGCCUUUUCGAGUUUCACUAGGUAAUAUCUCGCUGUUACCGAAACAUAGUUUUCAAAAAAUAUGCGAUUAUUGAUAAAAAUAGAGUUAUUUUAGAAAACAUAGUGAAAUAUCAAGUAUUUUCGAUGAACUAGUGAUCGUAACAUAUUUUAGAGACAUUGCCACUCCCUCAUGUUAGAAUUUUAAGGGUCUUCCUCAAAAUUCUGCCCCAGUUUGGUAAAUGAUCCUUCGGUUGUUUGCGGGUAACGAGCCUUGUUGAUCCUUCCUCAAAUUUUGAGAAUCCUUCUCAAAAUUCUGCCCUAGUUUCUUAAUCGAUUUCCGGCUGUUUGACAUACGCUAGUGUUGGCUGGACUUGCUCGGAAUUUUGAGGGACCUUCUCAAAAUUUUGCCCCAGUAUCUGAUCUUGGGGGAAAUGGAAAUUUUAUUAUGAUAUGAUCGAACCUAUAAGGCUGCCUACGUAUCCCCUCUUAAAUGGGAAUCAGGUCAAGUGUAGUUCAAUUACAUCAGAUGAGGAAAUGUAAAUAAUCUAAGAAUAGUAUCUUUUCACUGCGUCUAAAUUGAUUGGUUUUGGCCAGAUUUCUCAAUCCAUUUCUGCGAGUAUGAGUGCUCCUCCUGUUAACACCUUGUGAACCAUGUAAUAACCUUGCCAGUUGGGAGAGAAUUUCCCUUUGGCUUCAUCUUGGUAUGAGAAAAUCUUCUUUAACACUAACUGUCCUGGUGCAAAUUUGCCUUGGUUUGAUCCUUUUGUUGAAAGCUCUAGACAUUCUGUUCUGGUAAAGUUGACUGUGACAUACUGUGUUCAUUCUUUUUCCAUCUAUAAGGAUCAAUUGUUCAUAGCGGCUUCUUAUCCAUUCUACAUCGCUGAGUUCAGCUUUCUGUAUGAUUCUUAAAGAAGAAAUCUAUACCUCGGCUGGGAUGACAUCCUCGGUACCAUAAACCAGCAUGUAAGGAGUUACCCUGAUUGAUGUGUGAACCGUAGUGCGGUAUCCUAAUAAAGCAAAAGGUAGCUUCUCGUGCCAUUAUUUGUNNNNNNNNNNNNNNNNNNNNNUGUUUGAUUUUGAAAGUUUCACACAUGGAUUUCAUCAUAUCACUGUUGAGAUUAGCAACAUUAUCGGUAACAAUGGACUCGGGUACUCCGAAUCGGCAAAUGAUAUGAUCUCUGACAAAAUCUGCAAUGACUUUCUUGGUUACAGCUUUGUAAGAUGCAUCCUCUACCCAUUUUGUGAAGUAAUCAAUGGCUACCAGAAUAAACCUGUGUCCGUUUGAAGCAGUUGGCUCAAUCGGACCGAUGACAUCCAUUCCCCAGGCGGCGAAUGGCCAAGGUGAGCUUGUGGCAUUGAGCUCAUUUGGCGGUACUUUUAUCAUAUCAGAGUGCACUUGACAUUGGUAGCAUUUGCGGACAUAUUGGAUGCAAUCUGUCUCCAUGGUCAUCCAAAAGUAACCAGCCCUAAGUAUCUCUUAGAAAAGACAAAAUCAUUCAUGUGCGGACCGCAGGUCCCAGCAUGUAUCUCCUCAAGUAGCUUAGAAGCUUCUCUUGUGUCGACACAUCUUAGUAAUCCCAAAUUGGGAGUUCUCCUAUACAAGUUUCCUCCGCUGUGGAAGAAGUGAUUGGACAAUCUCCGGAGUGUGCCUUUUUGAGUGUGGUUCGGAUGCUCUGGAUAUUUCCUUUUCGCCAGAUACUCCUUGAUGUCAUGGUACCAAGGUUUUCCAUCUGUUUCUUCUGCAACAUGGGCACAAUAUGCCGACUGAUUAUGAAUUCUCACCGGAAUGGGAUAAAUAUAAUUCUUAUCUGGUUGUUGUAUCAUGGAUGAUAAAGUGGCCAACGCAUCGGCAAACUCAUCCUGAAUUCUAGGCACAUGCCGGAACUCUAUCUUUGUGAACCUCUUUCUCAAUUCCUCCACAAUGUGCAGAUAUGGAAAUAUCUUGGAAUUUUUGGUGGCCCAUUCUCCUUGUACCUGAUGCACGAGCAAAUCUAAAUCACCGAUUACCAGCAGCUCCUAAAUAUUCAUAUCGAUUGCUAUAUUGAGUCCUAGUAUGCAGGCUUCAUAUUCCGCCAGGUUGUUGGUGCAGGGAAAUAUGAGUUUAGCAGAUACCGGAUAAUGUUGACCUAUUUCUGAUACCAAAACUGCUCCAAUGCCUACUCCUUUGAAAUUUGCAUCUCCGUCAAAGAACAUCCUCCAACCGUCGUAUGCUUCGGUAAUGUCCUCUCCUAUGAAUGACAUUUCUUCAUCAGGAAAAUACGUUUUCAAGGGUUCGUAUUCUCCUCCCAGCGGGUUUUCAGCAAGAUGAUCUGCCAGUGCUUGCCCUUUGACUGCCUUUUGAGUUACGUAGACGAUAUUGAACUCACUCAACAGUAUCUGCAACUUGGCUAGCUUCCCAGUUGGCAUGGGUUUCUGAAAUAUUUACUUCAAAGGGUCCAUCCUGGAUAUGAGGUGUGUAGUAUAGGCACAGAAGUAAUGCCUCAACUUCUGGGCCGUCCAAGUCAAAGCACAACAAGUGCGCUCUAGUAGAGAGUACCGCGCUUUGUAAGGUAUGAACUUCUUACUCAAGUAAUAUAUGGCUUGCUCCUUUCUUCCUGUCUCGUCAUGUUUUUUCCAGAACACAUUAGAAGGCGUCGUCCAAUACAGAUAGAUAGAGUAGCAAAGGCCGUCCUGACUCUGGCGGGACCAAAACUGGUGGUGUGGAUAGGUACUCCUUGAUCUUGUCAGAAGCUUUCUGACAAUCCUCGGUCCAACUUGUCUCGGCAUCUUUUCUCAGCAUCUUGAAGAUAGGUUCACAUACGACUGUGUACUGUGCUAUGAAUCGACUGAUAUAGUUGAGACGUCCUAGGAAUCUCAUCACAUCCUUUUUGCUCCUAGGUGGCGAUAACUCCUGAAUAGCCUUAACUUUCGACGGAUCCAUCUCGAUCUCUCGACGAUUGACAAUGAAUCCCAGUAACUUUCCCGCGGGAACCCCGAAUGCACUCUUUGCAGGGUUCAGCUUCAAAUUGUACCUCCUUAACCUGUCAAAGAACUUUCUCAAGUCUGCUAUGUGAUCUGCAGCCCUCUUGGAUUUGAUAAUAACGUCGUCCACAUAUACCACUAUUUCUUUGUGCAUCAUAUCAUGGAAGAUGGUUGUCAUGACCCUCAUGCAGGUAGCCCCAACAUUCUUUAGACCAAAUGACAUCAUCUUAUAGCAGUAUACCCCCUUGGUGUAAUAAAAGCAGUUUUUUUCGCAUUUUCUUCGUCCAUCCAGAUCUGGUGAUAAACCGUGAAGCAAUCCACAAAGGAUGGGAGUUCAUGCUUGGCGCAAUUGUCAAUUAGGAUGUGUAUAUUUGGUAGUGGAAAGUCAUCUGUAGGACUAGCUCUAUUUAAAUCUCGAUAAUCGAUACAUACUCUGACUUUCCCUGAGAACUUUGGCUUUGAUCUGCUUGGUAACUUCCUCCUUUAUCUUCAUGCUCAUAUCUAGUUUAAACUUUUUAAGUUUCUGCUUCACCGGCAGACACAUGGGAUUAGUAGGCAACUUCUGAGCCACUAUGGAGGUGCUCAAACCGGUCAUGUCAUAAUAUGACCAUGCGAAAAUGUCUUCAAACUCCUUUAAGAAACAUAUGUACUCUUCCUUCUUUGUUGGCGAUAAGUGAAUGUUGAUGCGAGUCUCCUUGACGAUCUCGGUGUCCCCCAAAUUUAUUUCUUCGGUCUCGUCCAUGUUGGACUUAGGCUUAUUCUCAAAAUUUUCAGCUUUCCUCACAAAUUCCUCAAGUAUCUCAUCUUCUUCAUCUGAAUCACUAUUCUCAUGUUGCGUUGCCUCAUUACAUGUCACAGUCAAUGGUUCAUCGGGAAAAGUACUAAUAACAUUGUAGAAAGAAAAAGUGUAGAAAAUAGUAACGAAUAAUAAAGAGCAAAUGCAUUUGAUUAAAAUUAAACAACAUCCAGCUAAGUGCGGCUCGAUGAAUCGAGCAUUUAUUUUGAAACAAGUAAGUCUUUAAAACAAAAUUACUGAAAAUCUUAAAUGCCUAGAAUGGAUAUAGAAAUAAAAUUUGCCAAGCUACCUAGGGACUCGGCGGGCCUGGGAUGGUCAGGCGGUCCAGUUCCUGAGAAUAGUUCCCUUCUCCACAUUCUAAAUAGUGAGGCAUUCUUCCUCCUCCUCAAUUAUUUCACAGUAGUCCAUGUAUUUGUCCUCCAAGAACAGAUUCCUCAGCCCCGCUAACGCUUAUUCUUCUAUAGUUCCCCAUAUUGUGUCAGCUUGGUGAGAAGUCUGAUUUAGAUGCGACACUGAUUGCUCGAGAAGGUAAAAGGGUUCGCACUAUGGAGGCCACCAAUCAUUAUACUCUCGCCAUGUGUACUGAUAUCCGAGCCUAAAGGUAGUACCAUGACCCUUUAGUCGUAUCAGUUUAGCGAAACCCUGGAGAUUCUUUCCAAGCCCUUUGUCGGGUUCAUACCCAGACCAUGCCAUUAUGCUCUCUAUUUUACUGCUCCACCAUUUAUCUUUCUCAAUGGCAUUGACACGUUCAAUGUAAUGAUAAGUUUCCCCUCCUAGCCUUCUUCUAUGUCCAAUAACCAGGAUGGUUUGACUGGUGUAAAUGGGGUUACUCUUGUCUCUGUGAAUGAUCACCUCUUGACAAUUCCAUUCGAAUUUCACCGCUUGAUGUAGUGUGGAUGCCACAUCCCCAGCGGCAUGGAUCCAUGGUCGACCCAACAGAAGAUUGUAUGAGGCUGGUAUGUCAAGCACCUAAAACUCGGCGUCGAACCAAGUUGGCCCCAUAUGUAGACAAAGGUUAAUUUACCCGAUCGUGGCCCUUUGAGAUCCGUCAAAAGCUUUCAUGUUCAUGCUUCCUGUCCGUAUUUCAUGAAAACCUUUGUCCAACCUUUUCAAAGUAUCCAACGGACAAAUGUUGAGGCUUGAGCCUCCAUUAACCAAGACCCUGUCAAUAAACUUGUCUUCAAAUUGCACUGUGAUAUGUAAUUCCCUGUUGUGAUUCAACCCUUCAGGCGGUAUCUCAUCUUCGUGGAAGAUGAUUUUAUAAUUUUCCAAUACUUGCCCUACCAUAUUGGCCAUCUCUCCGCCUGUGAUAUUGUUGGGUACAUAAGCUUCACUCAACACCUUCAUUAAAGCAUUCUUAUGCACCUCUAAAUUUUGCACUAGCGACGGGAUGGAGAUUUGAGCUGGGGUUUUGUUCAAAUACUCAAUGACGGAAUACUCCUUUGCCUAUAUUUUCCUCCAAAGGUCAUCUGGACCUGUUUCAAUGACAUACUGCUUGGUAGUGGCAUCUUUACUUGGUCCUCCCAAGUGUUCAGGUGUAUAGAUUAUUCCAGUCCUAGUCAUUCCUUGUACGGCAUCAGAUUCCUCCAUCUUUGCCUUUCUUUUUCACCUAGCUUUGGCAACGUAAUCCCAGGGUAUUGCUUUUGAGUUGAAAGGAGGUGUGGUAGAUACUGUCACUGUGAAAGGUGUGGCCACUUCCACUUCAAAUGCAAUAGGGGUGGCCACAGGUGGGGCUACCUCUACCUCAAAUGGAACUGAUAUAGCUACCUCAACCUCGAUUGGUGACUGAGUCUGUACUACAAUAGGAGUAAGUGUGACAGAGGGUUUAAAGUCAUCGCCCUCCCAAAUAAGGCCAAUCGACCCCUCUAGGUCCCGUUCUUUGUUUGUCUCUAUCACAUGUACCCCACCACCCCUGUGAUCAGGGAGAGGGUUGUUGUAGACAUUGUGUGGAGCUUCCUUUGCCUGUAUGACCUUGUUGGCAAUCAGCGUCUAGAUCUUAUCUUUCAAUGUUCGACACACAUCACUGGUGUGCCCCUUCAUAGUGGAAUGGAAUGCACAAGUUUUGUUUGGAUUGACCCACUGGGAUAGAUUCUCUAAUGCCACAACAGGAAUGGGGGUGACAUAACCAGCGACUUUCAACCUUUCAUACAGUUGGUUGAUGGGUUCAACAAUGGCGGUGUAUUGUUUGGGUGGCUUGCGGUCAUAGUUUUGUCAUGGUCUUGAAAAAUUUUGGCAAGUUGAAGGUGAUUGAAAAUGGGAUGGUUGGGAAUUAUAGGUGUGAUGGACAACGGCUGGUUGGGAAUAUUUAGGAGAUGAGGGUUGUUAUGUGGGUGGUGGUGCUUGAUAUGUGGGUGGAGGUGUUUGAUAUAUGGGUGGAGGUGUUUGAUAGGUAAGUAGAGAUUUUGGGCCUUGAGCCACCAUUACUGCCCCAACGUCUCUCUUCUUUGAUAUGCCGCCUGAUUGUAAUGCCUUAUUUGUGGCUUGUAAUGCCUCAAAAUUCGUUACCAUCCCGUUUUGAUGCCUUCCUCAAUUCUUUCCCCAAGCUUGAUGAUAUCAGAGAACUUAUGGUUUUCAAUGACCAUUAAUCUUUCAUAAUAUUGCGGAUCAUGUGCUCUGACAAAGAACUUGUUCAUCUACUCCUCAUCCAGAGAUGGCCUGACCUUGGCCGCUUCUGACCUCCAAAGAGUAGCAUACUCACGGAAGGUUUCGGUGGGUUUCUUCUUAAGAUUCUGGAUGUAGAAAACAUCUGCUGCAUUCUCUGUAUUGAAGUUGAACUAGUCCAUGAAAUCCGACGCCAUACUCACCCAAUUGGACCAUUUCUUGGGAUCCUGGCUGAUGUACUAGGACAAAGCAUCUCCAGUAAGACUCCUCAUAAAGAGUUUCAUCCAGAUCUUUUCGUCUUUCCCGAUCCUGACAAGCUUGUCACAGUUGGUCCUAAGAUGAACCCUGGGAUCACCUGUGCCGUCAAACAUCUCGAACUUUGGAGGUUUGUAUCCCUCCAGCAGUUCUACAUUUGGCUGUAUGCAUAGGUCUUCAUAGUUCAAACUUUCUAUUCCUUUGCUGCCUUCGACACCUUGAACUCGGCUUGUCAACUUCUUGAGUUCUUCAACUAUGUUUUGAAUGAGCAAGUCCUUCUCGGAGGAUUCUAGGGUAUAGGAGAUUGGUUGGACAGAGUGAGGCACGAUUUCUAUGUAUAUGGGGUAGUUUUGGUGAGUACCCGGUGCCUGGGUGUAAUGGUGGUCAUUGGUAGAGUUUUGAGGAUCGGGAAUAGGUUGUGGUGUGUUUUGGGGAGUGCGGUAAGUGGUGGUUAGUGGGUACUGAAUUGGUUGAUGGUGGUGUUGUGGCCGAAUUGCUAUUGGUAGGGGAUUGCGAUUUUGGGGUGGGGUUGCAUAUUGAUGCGGUGUAGGAGGGUUUUACGGAUGUUGGUUUGGUGUGUUUUGGGGAGGUGCGGGGUUCUUUGUGUUUUGUUGGUUGAUAUCGGGGACAUUUAGGGUGAGUGAAAAGUUUGCCAAGUUGCGGACCUGCUCAAGCUCUCCUUGUAGAUCUAAUAUCUUUUGUUCUAACCUCAAGACUAGAUCAUUCGGUGCCGGGGUACUACGGCUGUCUGAAGUUUAUGCGUUCUCAGCAUUCUCCUUUCGAAUACCACUUAAAUCGUCCAUUUUUGCUUUUCAUUUGCCUUUUGUAUUGCUUGGAGGAGGUGGAGAGUCUCUAGAUUUGGUGUGAUAUGCUGACGAUGUCAGUGUGAGCGAACCAACCUUACGGGAUGGGAGUAAAUAAUAAAUAAAGACAAAAAGGUAAACAAGUCAGUAAGGAUUCUGAAAUGUUUGCAAUAUUUAAACACAUAUUGCGGGAAUAUAAAUUCAUGUCCUAAUUUGGGAACCUCGUUGAGCCUGAGGUAGGCCUAGUGACAAAUAAAUUUGGAGAAUUUUAGUGCCAAUAUCUGCCUCAUUUCAUUAAAGUAAAAGUAAACGAACCAAAACAAAACUAAAUAAGACAAUGUCACUACUGGCUCUUGACCUUAUUACAUUUGAAACAAAAGCAAAUAAAUCUAAUCUACUUGGUCCCAGAAGGACCCUCUCCAGACUGGAUUCUCUUAUCGAUCAAUUCUCCCAUCUCGUGCAGGUUCAACAGUAGGAAUGCCCUUGCAAGAUGCCCUCAUUCGUUCUCUUCAGCGUUCUGGCAGUUAGUGACCCUUUUUCUUAUCUUCCUUUCCAACUCUAUUAAACUGUAUUCCAGGUAUUCUAACCUCUCGCUGGAUUUAACAACUUUGUCUUUCCAUUCGUUAAUCAUCUCCAUAUCAGCCUUGUGCAGUGCCAUAUGCUCGGCUUCAGACUCUCGAACUCUUUUCUGCAGCUUGUUGUACUUCACCUCGGCUUCAACAACCUCGUCUAUGACCCUUUUUCCUGGCUCAACGACCCCAGUUAUGUUGUCCUCCAACACGAAGGUAAAGGUAUGAGUGACCUGCGUGAUAUCGGUCUGGCUCAAUAGUAUCCUUCUCCACAAUAAUCUUUAAGGUCCACAUAUGUUGUGCUUCAUUCCUAUACGAGAUGGCGUCACCUUGGAAACUGGUUCUGAAGUGACACAUUUUGGCGACUCGUGGUAUGAUUUGUCUCCUGCCUACUUCUCUCAUAACCCUGGAGGGAGCAUAAUGGUAUAUGCCCCCGAACCAGAUCACCACCAAGUGCGGAAAAUCCCUGGAUCUAAUGAUGAAUUCAUUGUUAUGGAACCACUCAAACAUCCACUGGACUUGAUCCUCAGUCAAAUUUUCAAAAAGUUGUACCCAUCCUACAGCGUCCUCUGGCUGAGAAACAUGUCUAGAAUAUAAUCAUUCUUUUGGGAUGAUAUAAGGCUAAAUGAUCAUUACACGGCCUUUGCAGAAAUACUUGAGGGUAUUGCCCCUUUUGGAGAUGUUCCAACAACCAGACCUAUAGUAGUAAGUUGCAACCCUUGAAGAACUUGAACCCCUUCUAGCACCGCUCCAAAGCCCGGUACAUGUCUGCAACAAUCAUAGGGAUGAUAGUGUAUAUCUCCCCCUCGAUCCCGUCCAUCAGAGUUUUCGUCACCAUGACCAACCUAGUAUGGAUCCUAUCCCCUUGGAUUGGGAAUACCAGCAUGCCCAAGAAAUACAUGAUAAAUACGAAGACCCUACGAUGAAUCCAACCUAAAGAAGUGAUUGAGAACUCAUCAUCAAAGAGGCGGUAAGAACUGUUGUGACAGUAUCUUUCGUAAAGGAACUCAAAAGGUAUGUAGGAGUCCUUUAGGCAUUUCAAGUUGUCAUUUUCCUUCAGCCCUGCCAUCUUCAGAAAUCCCCUAGGGUCAUGAGGUGCUAACAGAUUAGGACUAUCCCAAGGUAACCCAACAAAUCCUCCUAUCUCUUCUAAAAGGGGUGUCAUUUCUAUGUUCCCAAAAUGGAACACAACCCUUUCCUUGUCCCAAAACAUAGUUGCAGCCUCGAUCAGCAUUUUGUUGAGCUGAAGGUCCAUCAAAGAAGGCAAAUUUCCUAAAACUUGUUUCUCGUGGGUUUGGUCACAUGAAGUAAGAUCCCUCCACCAAUCUGGCAAAAGUGAGGGUGUGUUAACCAUACCGAAUCUGGGGACCUCGUGCCUCAUUUUCUGCAAAAACAAAGAGAGUUAGGCCCUUUCCCCCUCUAGGUUCGUCUAUUUAUACAGUAAUGAUUAGAAUAUUUGCACUUAUUUCUCCAAAUUAAUGCACAUAAUCGUGGUUACGUCCGUUGAGAUUAUGAAAAACCCGAUGGACUUUUGGACAAGACUUGUCUUAAAGGGUCAUUAUGUGGACAACAUAUUAACUCGGCUAGGUUUGACCAUGAUGCAUGUACGAUUUAAUCAGAGUAAGGUUGCUAUAGAGGUCUAGAUUGGGACCCUCAAGCGGACAACUUGAGGGGGAAAGGCACGGAACCGUCGAACGCACCGCUGAUCGACUAAUUUUACCGCAAAUACGCCUUUCCGAAUUUGAAGGGUGAUAUAUAGGAAGAGCGCAAACACUCACCAAGCGUUGCUAUAUGAUUAAUAACGCACGAGUGAAGUAUGAUGUUGAGCAUGAUUUAUGAAGCAAUAAAUAGCAUAUUGUCAAGUAUUUGCACGUAAGAAAAUAAUAAAUGCAGUAUUUAAAUAAUUGAAGAGACAGUUACAGAAAAAGAAAACAAGGAGACAAGUCAGUUUCAGGAAUAAAAGAAUCAUAAAUGCUUGAAAAUAGACAAUUAAAUUCAAAUAAGGGGAAAGGGUAUGUGGGAUAGAACAUGCUUGGACUAAUUCACAAAAGAUAAGUUCGUUAGGUAAGAGCCUAAAAAUAUCCUAAGCAAAGUCUACAUGCUAUCGCGCCCCCUUUUUUCCCUUUUUGACGGGGAAGUCCGAGUUUCGACAUUCAUGAGGGGAAUAACUCUUUUCCUUUUGGCAAUUGAGUAUUUGAAGAGUCGCCACCUAACGGAUUAUGGUGCGAUAGGGCACCUUGAGCAAUUAACUCAUAGACUAGUUUGCAUUACCAGAUAUUUAGGGUAAGAGCUCGAAAUAACCUUGAGGGGAAGGUGUUAGGCACCCUCGCGAUCCACAACGGUGGGUCCCGGCCGAACUUAAUCUAUGUGAAUUAGACCUUUUACAAAUUAAUAGUUUUAACACGUACUUGCAAGUAAAGGCUUGUUUUGUUAUUCUAAGCACAUGUAUGAUUCAAGUAAUGGAACAAGGGAAAAGGGUUGGAACAAGUUGCACAUAUAAAGAAAAAGUAAAUUUAUUUAAACAACGGGAGUUGGAAAAGAGGGGUCCUAGGUUGGUUAGCCUACAGGAUCAUACCCAUACAAUGCCCGGUAAACACUCUUCAACGAGGGGCUACACGUGACAUUUGUGCGUGAUCAUCAUAUUCCUUACUACCCAAUUCUCUCGCUUUGGUCAUAGCCUAAAGCGUUCUAGCAACCUUGAAUGAUAACCUAUGCGUGCACUACUCGUCUCUUCCUUGUGGCCCUGGAGGUAUUUAGGACCUCUAAUUUAGGUGGUUCUAGACCAUUCUAAGGUAUUUAAAGGAGAAAAGUCUAAGCAUUGAGGCAGCUGUUGUUACCCAAUUUUUCCUCAUAUAUUUUUUAAAAACACGUAUAUAUGCUUUCAAAAUAGUACAUAUGCAGUUAUAAGCAUGCAUAAGUAUUUUAUAAUUUUCCUAUAAUUUUAAAAGCUCCAAAUCAAUUUAUUUCUUCUCUUUUUAUUUAUAUAAAUAUCCAAUAAUUAUCCUUCAAAUUACUUUUGUGGUGAUUUAGCCAUUUGAAUUCAUUAUUUAUGCCAACAUAGUGUUUAAAUAUUUUUGUGCAUUUUUUGUAAUUAUAUUUACAUUUUAAAGCUAAUUUACAUAUCUUUGCAAAAACAGCCCAUACUAAUGUAUAACUACAUUAUUUAUGCAUAAAAUGAUCUUUCAUAUUUUUAAAAUAUUAAAUAACUAUUUUAAAUCAUUUUAAUACAUAAUAAUAUUUUUUUGGUACUUAUUUAUUAUUUUAUAAAUUAUUUAGUUAUUAAAAGUGGUGAUUUAAAAUCUAGCCUUAUUUUAUUUCAAUUUUGGCCUCAAUUUUGACCCAAUGCCCAGCCCGAUUUUAACCUAAACCUACCCAGCACAAUUUAACCUAAACCGACCCGGCCCCAAUUUUAUUUGAUCUCGGCCAUUGAUCAUAGAGAUCAACAGCCAGAAUCCACCCUUUCCCUUUUUAGUUUCAAACGACCCCUGAACCCUAACCAUUUCUCACGCACAACCGCCCUUGAAUCCCUUCCUCUCCAGUUCUCUCUGAAACCCACCCCUAACCCCAAUCGCCAUCACCCAAAAUCAACCCCAAACCUUAGAAUCCCUGUCCGAUCUAUGGCAUCCUAUGGCUGUACGAAGCCUCUACUUGUCUCAUAUCCCCCUGGUUUUUCGAUUAUGUGGUUUUUGUGGAAGAACCUCAAAGAGAUUUGGUCCAGAUCUCGUUCAAAGCUUUUCAAGGGUUCGUCCAUAGUUUGCGAGUUAUUUCUAUUGAAGUUUCAAGGUUCAAAUCUCUGGUUCAAAACUAGGUUCUCUUUACCCCUCCCCUUUCUCCUCAAAACCCUAAUCUUUGGCAAUGAAUCCGUCCGAUAUUUGUAGAUCUGGAAGGAUUCUAAGUUUAUCAACAACUUUUCUUUAAAGAUCUCUUGUUUCUUUACUGCUAACCGAUUUUAGCACUAUAUCUUGGGUCCUUUGCUAUCUACUGCUUGAAUCUCUGCAUACUUGAAAAUGUUCUCGAGUUUCUGUGAUUUUUCUUUAAGUUUCUCUUAUUCCUCUACUAGUAACUGAUUUUAAACGCUAUAGUACUUCAGGUUUUUGACUUCUACGACUAAGGUUUCCUGAAAUUUACUUUCUCCAAAACGUUAAUGAUUUUUGAGUAUUUAAUCUUCUGUUUCUUGUGUGUUUUGACCGAUUUCAUGAAGAUUGCUUUAACCCUGACUUGUUUAUGCUAAAAGCCCUAUUUUCUCGACAUUAUUAUUUGGUUUAUGAGUUUGUCUAGGAUACUUGGGUACGACUUUGUACUAUGCUUUGGUUUCUGUGAUUCUUCUUAGCCUAAUUCGAUGUCUUUUGGUCCUAAUGUGCCUCGAUUGAUGUUCUUGGUUCGACUCUUCUACUGAUUCCAUAUGUUCAUGUUCAUUUUUUUACCUAUUCAUUGUAAAACUAUACUUUUCCCUUAAAUUAGUGAUUGAUUUGGAUUCUUGAUUUAUCAGUUUGUUUUGUUAAGACCCAUUCCUGACUAUUUCCUUAUUUACAAUCUUGAGCCGCUUUCUUACCUUGUUUGAUUAAUUAUGAUAUUUACUGAUUCGUUACCAAUCAUUUCUUUAAUUAAAAAUCUAUCUAUUUACCCCUAAUUUCUCGUUGAUUUUAUUUCCUUAAAUGUAUUUUGCCUUUACCAUUGGUUGAUUACCCUUAUUUAAGGAAAAAUUAUACUAACUGAUGUAUAAUUGAUUCUGUGGCUUCCUUAAUUGCAGAAGGGUUGAUUCCCUUUACCUUAUUUUUCUCUUGCUCUUAACUGCUAUAUAUACUCUCCUUUACUCCUCACUUCGAGACACGAACACUAGUUCAUCUACACUCUCACACUCUCAAAAGCUCUCUAUUCUCUUCCGUUACUUGCAAUUGUUAUUAAUCCAGCUAGCUGUAAGCCAAGGCUGGCUACUUGCACCAUCUCUGCUCUAUACUCUGUAUUUUCUCCUUAACUAGUAUGUUCUGAUUCAAUUCACAUCCCAAAACUAUGUGUUUUCUUUGUUGCUGCAGUUCAUCAGUUAUGAUUUCUAUGUUCUAUUUGCUAUUCUACUCAAUAUGCAAUCAACAUGCCUAGAUUACAGUAUCACACAACAUGUUUAAGUUUAUUCUGUUAAAAGCUAUAGCUAGUAUACUGUUUAGCAUGCCAAACCCGCUUUAAAUAGUUGGUUCACUAGCAUGUCCAAGCUGCAUUAUAUGUUUAUUAUUUUACCCAGCAUGACCAAAUUCUGGCUGUUCUAUAUAUGAUUAGUAUUUCUAAAACCUUGAAUGCUUCAUGAAGUGUUUGUCUAGUUUGAUCAUCUAAGUUCAACUUGCUCUACUGCACUAAUGAGAUCCUAUUUGUGUCUAAGACCUGUGUGUUCUCAACUUAACUAACAAUCUGUGUGUUUGUUUGCCAUCACUAAGGUGCAUUCUAGGUGUCCCCUACCCCUUUCCGUUGUCUGAAGUCUGUUCUGAAACUGUGUGUUCUGUGACUUGCUCUCUGAUCCUAAAAAAUGUUCUUCAUGUUUUCUCAAACUAUUUCUACCAUAACUAUAUAUUGGUUUUCAGAAAAUUCUUUCCAUUAGACCCUCUUGCUACUGCUUAUCAAACUCUUUCAAAUCAUUAUGCACUCUCACAUUACUCUUAGAUUGCUAAGUCCUGCCCCUCUGAUAUGUGUACUGCUUUUAGACCCUAGAGAUCUCUCUGAACUCUGGCAUAUCAGAGAUGGCACUUCCACACUACACAUAAUCAAUCUUUGUUUGAGUAAAGUCUGGGUGUGAGCACUGCCCGGGAUCCUUGAGGUCCUUAGGGAAAUUUGACCCACCUAGACAUGAAUUGGGCUAUGGAACUUUGGGUAUUUGAGAUCAGUAAAGGCUUGGUACACCAUGACUAUUUUGGGCCUGCUUCAAGCUCCCUAUAGCUUAAUUUCUGUUCUAUUUAUGUAAUUCAUUCAAUUCUUGGUUUGUAAUAAUUAAUUGUAAACAAACAAUGGGGUGAUUAGUGGAAAGGGAGGGUAGUUGUAUAUUGCGGGCAAAAUUGGGUAGAUACCAUGCCUAUAGGGCCCUUAUUGCUUCAAAUGUGUUUGUUAGAUAACAUACCAACAGGAUCCGCUUUGGUUUAAAGAAGUUCUAUUUGCUUUACUUCCACACAAUUAGAAACCAUGCCUAUUGGAUUUAAAUUAACUUUUAAUAAUUAGAUAUCAUGCCUAUAGGAGUUAAAAUCAGCCUUAAUAGAAAUCAUACCUAUAAGGGUUUCACUGUGGUCGAAUUAAUUCUGCUUGCUUCACCUUAUGUUUAAUUAGAAAUCAUGCCUAUAGGACUUAAACCAGUUAAAUUAGAAAAUCGAUUUAAUUCAUGUUUAUUCUGAAUCGGUUUAAGUAACUAAUCUAUCCGCUUGUUUAAUAAGUUUUAACGUUGCCCUAAGAAAGCAUGCCUAUAGGAUCCCAAAGUGCCCGUUUAAGAAUUGUUUACUUUUUUACUGCAUUCCUAAUCAGUAGUUGAUACCAUGCUCUUAGGACAUCACUAUUAUACGCCUAGGCAAGCCUAUAUGGCGAUUAAAAUCCUGCAACUAUAAAACUGCGCUUUGUUAUUUGAGACUACUCACAUUCAACAUGUCUAAAAUCAGUAGGCAAGCUGAAUAGGCCUUUGACACUUUGGUCCUAAUUCAAUACUGUACAAUCUCUGCUCACCUAGAUAUCAUGUUCUAAGGUUUUCUCUUAAAUAUUUGAAACUAUUGUUUGAGACGUGCACUUAUAUGUUAUGUUUGUGGAGGUAAAUGCGAGCCUUUAAUUAUUCUCUUCAAUGCAAUCCUAAUUGUUUUGAUUGACGCUUAGACUUUUCUCCUUUAAAUACCUUAGGAUAGUCUAGAACCACUUAAAUUAGAGGUCCUAAAUACCUCCAGGGGCACAAAGAAGGGACGGGUAGUGCACGCAUAGGAUAUCAUUCAAGGUUUCUAGAACGCUUUAGGCUAUGACCAAAGGGAGGAAAUUGGGUAGUAAGGAAUAUGAUGAAUACGCGCUAAUGUCACGUGUAGCCCCUUGUUGAGGAGUGUUUACCGAGCAUUGUGUGGGUAUGAUCCUGUAGGCUAACCAACCUAGGACCCCUCUUUCCCAACUCCCGUUGAUUAAAUAAAUUUACUUUUUCUUUAUAUGUGCAACUUGUUCCAACCCUUUUCCCUUGUUCCAUUACUUGAAUCAUACAUGUGCUUAUAAUGACAAAACAUGCCUUUGCUUGCAAGUACGUAUUAAAAUUAUUUAUUUGUAAAAGGACUACUUCACAUAGCUUAAGUUCAGUCGGGACCCACUGUUGUGGACCGCGAGGGUGCCUAACACCUUCCCCUCAAGGUUAUUUUGAGCCCUUACCCUAAAUCUCUGGUAAUGCAAACUAGUUCAUGAGUUAAUUGCUCAAGGUUCCCUAACGCACCAUAAUCCGUUAGGUGACGACUCUUCAAAUACCCAAUUCCUAAAAGUAAAUGAGUUAUUCCCCCCAUGAAUGUCGAAACCCGGACUUCUCCAUCAAAAAGGGAAAAAAGGGGGCGGGACACUUGUUUCACUAAAUUCCGACUCCAAAUCAAUGUUCAAAACUCAAAAAUUCAUAUUAUGAAACUUUAGGCCAAAACCCCCAAUUUCCUCUUUAAAUUCAUCAACCAAAAGCUAAAAUUGAAGAUAGAUUCAUGAAACAUAACCAAAACUGAGUAGAGAACACUUACCCCCAUUCAUAUGGUGAAAAUAGCUUCAAGAAUCGCCUCAAUCUGAGCUCUAUAGCUAAAAAAUGUAAAAAUGACCGAAACCCUCGAAAUAGAGUACUUUAUAACCACUGAGCAACUUAAUGCAUCGCGAUCGCGAAGAAGAAAACUUAUACUCCUGUAAAAUGCCAUAAACGAUCGCAUAUGUCAGCUCGCGAUCAUGGUAUACACAGCUAACAAAGCUAUGCAUUCGCGGAAGAAACCUUGCGAACGCGAAGAUAUAACCAACACUGCCUCAGCUCAAACCCAAACACAAUGCGAACGCGUUCUCAACAUCGCAAAUGCGAUGCUUAACUGCCAUAACCUAUGCGAACACGGACCAUCACUUGCGAACACAUAGAAGAAGAAUUAGCCUGCUCCACUUUUCCUUUAUGCUAUCACACCACUAAGUCCGCGAUCGCGAUGAAGAAAUGCGACACCAGAUAUCAGCAGAACACAACAGUGAAAAAUGAAGGAAAAAUAGUUUGAAACCCGUCCGAAACUCACUGAGCCCCUCUGAACCAUGUCCGAACAUCCCAACAAGUCCCAUAAUAUAACACGGACCUUCACGAGGCCUCAAAACACACAUAACAAUAUCGAAUCGACGAAUCACACCUUAAUUCGAAAUCAAUGAACUUUAAAACUUCAAACUUCUACAACCGAUGCCGAAACCUAUCAAAUCUUCACAUUUGGCAUUACGGACCUGCUCCAACUUCCAAAAUCGGAAUCCAAACCCGAUAUAAAAAAGUCCACUCCCGGUCAACCUUUCGAAAAUUCCAACUGUCAUAUCCCUUUUUUUUGCAAAACCUCACUAACCCUCUUAAAUAAAUAAAAAGAUUUCGCAAAGCUCGAAAGAAAUUUUCAAUUUUGAAAGUGACAAAAGAUAGUGUUCAAAAGGAUUAACUCAGAGUCGCCACCUGACAUUUGAUUUCGGUGUGUCAGGUCACCGUUUUUCUAAAAAUAAUUUUUUUUUUCCUUUCAAAACACUUGAGACUCCAAAACUAAGUCUACACAAGAGAUUCGGGUAAGGAGGUUCAUUUGACUCGGGGAGAAGGUGUUAGGCACUCCCCAAGUCCCGUAACUAGUACGGUUGCAUACUUGAUCUAGUUAGCUUUUAAAAUAUUCAAGUUGAGGUAAAAUCACGAAAAAGCAAAAUAAACACACAUGAGGCUCGAGGUUGUCCCCACCUAAUAAAAGAUGAAUAAAAAUAAAAAUAAAAACACUACGAGUUCUACUAUCGAUCUCCAAGUACAAAUACUUCGGGGCAUACCCCGGAAUAAAAUAUAUACAAAUCUUUCGGGGCAUUCCUCGAACAAAUUUAACUAAGGAAACGACCUCUCACCUCAAAAGAAACUAAAAUCAAAUGCCCUAAAGGUUUUCCUACCCAAGCGUGGCCGGCCUAAGGAUACUACUAGCGGGUCAAUUAGCAAAUGCAAAAAACAAAUUCACAGAAAUUCAAUUGAUUCUAUUUAAUCCAACCCCACAUUCCAUUUCCAACAAAAUUCUUUCAUAUCUUCAUUCUCAAAUGUAUAGAGCAUAUUAUAACGUAAUUCAGUGAAGCCAACCAAGAUCAAAGUCAUAACACAUUAAUUCAACGAUUCGAGGAACAAAUCAAACAAAGUAAAGCUAACCAAGAUUAAAGUUAUAGCAGAUUCAAACUCACAGAUUAAUAAACGGGGAUAAAAGAGAUGAACCUGAAAAAUGAUCUUGCAAUUAAUAUAAUUUUGACAGUCCAUGGAUAGAAUACGCAGCUACAAAUGGAAUUCAAAUAGAAAAUCCAGCUCGAACAAAACCAAUGGACCACACCCCGGACGGCAACUCCAACAAUCGAACACCAAUUUCAACUCUGCUUUAUUUCGGAAGCCAGGACCAAAAUAACAACCUUUUAUUGAUGAACAAAGCUGAAAAUUACAUAUCAAUCGGGCUAAAUAAAGCAACAAUCUUUGGACCGAAAUACCGAAAUUGCAAACCGGAACCUCAAAUCGACACCCGAAAAAGAAAUCGAAACCCAAAUCGGAAGGCAAAAAGUGCCAAUCCUAAAUUGAUAAAAUUAUCAGUAAUGGCUUCCUUGGAGAUUGUGCUCUAAUUCAGUGGAGUCAACCCAUUUUCCUUGUUGGCUUUCAUUAAUUAAGUGGUCACGUGACUGACUUGGUCACAUAGAUGCCUAAAACAUUAAAUUGCAAGUCAAGGAUGUGUAGAAGGAGAUUGGUUCAUAUUGAUUCAUGUCAAUUUUUAUAUAUGGCAUCCUGAGAUUGUGUGAAUGACUUGGAUGGUUUUCAGACUCUAGGAAAAGAAGUUGAGCAACGUGAUAGCGGGGCAUGCCUUUUCCGAUGAAGGUUCAACUGAUCGAUUCUUCAACAUUCAGAGAAUCAAUCCUUCUUCUUGACCAUACUGCUUCAGCGUCCUUUUGAGUCGCACAAAAUUAAUUGCUCAAAAGAUUUUUCAGAACCAAAAUUCCUCCAGUUUUUUGAAUGCUGCCAUUUUUCUUUGUUUUUAGUCUAGGUCUUUGGGUGAGACGUGAUGGCUGGUCGUGAGUUUUUUGGUCUAGAGUUUAAGAUGAUGAUGGAGAAUGGUUGUUAUGUGUGUAGGAGAUGAGGGGACGGCUGGUGGUGUGUUGCGGCUUCUCUCCCUAAAGUUCUAGGGUUUUUCUUUGGUU